This 2597-nucleotide long non-coding RNA is filed under the name Mytilus galloprovincialis (Mediterranean mussel). The record is from RNAcentral. Lineage: Eukaryota; Metazoa; Mollusca; Bivalvia; Mytilida; Mytilidae.
UUUAACACAGCUGUAUUUGUUUAUAAAUUCGAUUUCAUGAAGUGCUCUCCUUUUUGAUAAUAUGAACAAGUAUAUGUUUGUCCUUAUAUUAGAUGAAUGGCUAAGAUUAAAGAAUAUAUUUUUUUAAAUCAUGUGCACUUUAAAAAAGAGACCACAAAAACAACUCAAUUAAAAAAUAAUGACUAAAUUAACAAAGAUACUGCUACAGACAAAAAAUACUUCAUUUGAUGUAUAAUUAUACACUAUAAUUUAUCAAUAAGCCAGUAGAUAAUGGUAGCAUGUUAAUUGGACAUGAGCAGCAAUCCAACAAAUAUAUAGCUCUCAGCAAGUGAAAACAAAGGCCAAGUUUUAAUAUGUUAUAACAAGUAAAUGUGGGCUUUUAGAUUUUAUUUUUUUAUUUCUUAUGCUAUACAUCUUGAGAUAGAAUUAUUAUAAUUUCUGUUUAGAUUUAAUACCAGCCGCUGUACAAAUUGCACAAGAAUUAGAGAAAUAUGAUGAUGCUAUUUGAUUUUUCAAUUAUUUGUAAGUAAUACUAUGCUUUAUAUAAAUAUUUUUGUCAAUACAUGUAUCAAAUAUUUACUAUAUUAAACCUUAAAGCAAGUCCCCAGUGCAAAAACACAACAUUUAAAGGUUUCCAAUUUUUCAAUUAUUCUGUCAUAUGUGUGAUUUAUGUCAAUGGUUAAUUGGUGUUAAAUGCCACUUUCAGUAUUAUGUACUGUUUCGUAUACGUAGUAGUCGGUUUUUAUUGGUUGAGUGAGAAAAUAAUGCUUGUAGAGAACCAAGAUCCAAGAUAGUAAAACUGACAAGCUUAUAGUCAAUUAGAUUGUAGUCAAACUAAAAGGCUAAGUGUGUGCUUUGAAAUUCACAACCUUUGUGUUGAGAGGAUAGUGAUAGACAAGUUCAAUGAAAAAGUAACACAACAAUGUGGCAUAGAAAAACAUACAGUCUUUAUCUAUAGCACAAGUUAAGUAAAAAAAAUGCUGAGUUCCCGUUUUCUUACUUUAGUUUGCCUUAAAACAAAUGUUUUAAAACGAAUAGGUACACAAUGCUUAUUACCACAAAACACAGAUCAUGUUUAAAAUUGGAUGGUGUUACUUUUACUGUUCAUGACUUAUGUACCUUUAUAAAUGAAGCAAUUACUUAGUCUGUUAGUUUAAUUCUCUUCCUCUUGUUUGCUUCGCCUAAAUGUUAUGAAAUUUAUAUACAAUUACAAAAGGGUCUUAAUGAAAUGAAUCCUGCAUCUGUAUGAGGAAGUUGACUGGUGCGUAUUGUUACUAACAGGCAGGGUAUUUGCGUCCCCAAAACACAUUCUCAAUUUAAUUAAACCAUGUUCAUUCACAAGAAUAGCCUAGUAUAGAAUAACCUCCUGUCUGAAAUCGCCUUCAAUCUAUUUUUUCAACUUUGAUUUAAUUUGAACAAUUAACUAAAUUGAAGUAAGCGGGGGUGUUAUGUUUUCUUUACAAAUACAAUGUAUACUGAUCCCCAAUUUGAAAAAAAAAACUAUUCUCAAUGCUCACUUUUUUUCCAUUUCCAUAACAAUAUACAGGUAGUGUUAUAAAAAAAAUAAAAAUAGUCUGAUUUAUCGUGUCAAAAAACUAAAUAAAUUUGUUUGUGCUUUAUACAUCCAAUAUUUUUGACUAAAAAAAAAAACGAAAGAAUUUAUAUGCCCCACUUACAGUAUUAGAGGGGUAUUAUCUAUUCUGGUCUGUUUGUCCGUCUGUCCCGUUUCAGGUUAAAGUUUUUGGUCAAGGUAGGUUUUGAUGAAAUUGAAGUCAAAUCAAUUCGAAAUAUAGGUCACAUGUUCUCUAUGAUAUGAUCUUUCUAAUUUUAAUGCAAAAUUAGAUGUUUGAUCCCAAUUUCACGGUCCACUGAACAUACAUGUAGAAAAUGAUAGCGUGAGUGAGACAUCAAUGUACUAUGGACACAUUCUUGUUAGAUUUGUAUUUUUUUAACAGUUGCUUCAUUACUGAUGUAUUAUAUCAUUUAACCCAUAAUUAAUUUUUUUCCGUAUAUGACAACACACACUAUCAUGCACAUAAAAAGUCAUAUGAUACAUAUGAAUUAUUUCAAUUGAGUAUUUUAUUUAUUUUUGAAGUAGAAUGGAGGAUUAUCCUUGACAAUGCUCAGCCCUACUGAUAUGAUAGAUACAUGUAUGCUGAUGUCUAACUUGGAGAUCGUGAUUAGGUUGGGAAAUGUAUCAGGUGGGUUGGUUAUUCAUACAUAUCAUGAAACAAAUAAUGGCCUUAAAAUUACUAAGUAGAUGUAUUCAUGUAUGUUGUUGAAUUUUGCUGAAAGUAUUUACUAGUUCAUUUGGCUGGACAAAACAAUCAAUAUUUCAGGUUUUGCAAAACAGACUAGACAAAUUGCAAGAUAGCAAUUAUGGAAGAGUCACAGUUGAAAAACCAUAAAUCUAUAAAAACAGAUAACAGCUACUCAUAACAUUUUUUUUAAUCCAUUUGAUAUUUUUUGUCUUGAUCUAAAACUACCAGUAAGCUUUAGAUAUUUAAAUAUAGAAACAACCGAACAGCACACACUAAUUUCAACAACUUUAUUUUUUGUAUUUUGUGUUUUUUUCAGAUGUAGAAGUAGAAGAAACA